GGAUUCUCUUUCUCCAUUCUAAACAAUUUUGGGUUAAAUCCCGGAAAUGUGUCAGAAAUGUAUAAUGUUUCUACGUCGUGUUAUACUAUUUUCCUUCAAGUUUAGGUUUACCCCUUCUUUUUUUUCUAUCCUCUAACACAUUCAUUCGAUGUGCUUUAGUUGUCUAACUGUAGCCUCUCCGGCCUAAGCAGUUUGUGCUUAGCCGAUCUCAAGCUCAGAUAAAUGAGGAGGGUUGUCAGCUUAAAAAUUUCAUUUAUGGAUUCUUGUUGGAAUAAAACAAUAAAAGAUAAAAUCAUAUACGAAAAAUAACAACAAUUUUUUUUUGUAAAAGAAAAAUAAAAAACAAUUUCCUCUACUUUCCCUGUUCAUUUAGCCAGAAAGGAACAGAUAAUAUCACAGCCAUGAAUAAAAACACUAACCAAACAACGAAAUCCUAAUCAUGCAAAAUUAAUAUUCACAAUCAAACAUAAUCGAGAAAAACUUGUAAGAUUAUGAGACUGUUGAAGAAAUAAACAAACUUGGGAAAACCUGAUUAC
RNAcentral lists this unclassified non-coding RNA (536 nucleotides) under Hevea brasiliensis (rubber tree). Lineage: Eukaryota; Viridiplantae; Streptophyta; Magnoliopsida; Malpighiales; Euphorbiaceae. The record is from RNAcentral.